GGGGGGAGCAAGCGUUGUUCGGAUUUACUGGGCGUAAAGGGCGCGUAGGCGGCCACCGCAAGUCGAUUGUGAAAUCUCCGGGCUUAACCCGGAAAGGUCAACCGAUACUGCGGGGCUAGAGUGCAGAAGGGGCAACUGGAAUUCUCGGUGUAGCGGUGAAAUGCGUAGAUAUCGAGAGGAACACCUGCGGCGAAGGCGGGUUGCUGGGCUGACACUGACGCUGAAGUGCGAAAGCUAGGGGAGCGAACGGGAUUAGAUACCCCGGUAGUCCUAGCCUUAAACGAUGAAUGCUUGGUGUCUGGGGUUUUAUAGUCCCCGGGUGCCGUCGCUAACGCUUUAAGCAUUCCGCCUGGGGAGUACGGUCGCAAGACUG
Molecule: ribosomal RNA, 373 nt
Filed under: uncultured bacterium
Lineage: Bacteria
Description: bacterial SSU rRNA
Rfam family: Bacterial small subunit ribosomal RNA
Source: RNAcentral